RNAcentral lists this ribosomal RNA (793 nucleotides) under uncultured bacterium. RNAcentral's name for it is "bacterial SSU rRNA". It matches the Rfam family "Bacterial small subunit ribosomal RNA", at positions 8 to 796 of the family's 1533-position model. The record is from RNAcentral.
AGAGUUUGAUCAUGGCUCAGAUUGAACGCUGGCGGCAGGCCUAACACAUGCAAGUCGAGCGGUAGAGAGAAGCUUGCUUCUCUUGAGAGCGGCGGACGGGUGAGUAAUGCCUAGGAAUCUGCCUGGUAGUGGGGGAUAACGUUCGGAAACGGACGCUAAUACCGCAUACGUCCUACGGGAGAAAGCAGGGGACCUUCGGGCCUUGCGCUAUCAGAUGAGCCUAGGUCGGAUUAGCUAGUUGGUGAGGUAAAGGCUCACCAAGGCGACGAUCCGUAACUGGUCUGAGAGGAUGAUCAGUCACACUGGAACUGAGACACGGUCCAGACUCCUACGGGAGGCAGCAGUGGGGAAUAUUGGACAAUGGGCGAAAGCCUGAUCCAGCCAUGCCGCGUGUGUGAAGAAGGUCUUCGGAUUGUAAAGCACUUUAAGUUGGGAGGAAGGGUUGUAGAUUAAUACUCUGCAAUUUUGACGUUACCGACAGAAUAAGCACCGGCUAACUCUGUGCCAGCAGCAGCGGUAAUACAGAGGGUGCAAGCGUUAAUCGGAAUUACUGGGCGUAAAGCGCGCGUAGGUGGUUUGUUAAGUUGGAUGUGAAAUCCCCGGGCUCAACCUGGGAACUGCAUUCAAAACUGACUGACUAGAGUAUGGUAGAGGGUGGUGGAAUUUCCUGUGUAGCGGUGAAAUGCGUAGAUAUAGGAAGGAACACCAGUGGCGAAGGCGACCACCUGGACUAAUACUGACACUGAGGUGCGAAAGCGUGGGGAGCAAACAGGAUUAGAUACCCUGGUAGUCC